AUGUACUUCCCCAGAUUUGAUGGCUCCAAACCCCAUGAGUGGCUCAGAUUGACAGAGAAAUACUUUGCUAUGGUCUUUGUCCCAGAAAAUGGAAAGUUUGAUUAUGCACAGAUGUACAUAACUGGGAAAGCGGAUACCUGGUUAAGGAAUUCAGAAAAUGCUAGAGAUAUGGAGCAAGGAGCAACUGCUAAUGCCAAUGCUGCAAGUAGAAGAUAUAUGGCCCACAGCUCAUUUGCAAAGAGCACUGCUACCACCUCAUUUCCCAGCAAAUCUCUGAAUAGAUACCCAGAGAGCAACAUAGCUAAAAUAGGAGAAUAA
This 318-nucleotide ribosomal RNA is filed under the name Triticum aestivum (bread wheat). RNAcentral's name for it is "partial small subunit ribosomal RNA". Lineage: Eukaryota; Viridiplantae; Streptophyta; Magnoliopsida; Poales; Poaceae. The record is from RNAcentral.